This 253-nucleotide ribosomal RNA is filed under the name uncultured bacterium. RNAcentral describes it as "partial 16S ribosomal RNA". It matches the Rfam family "Bacterial small subunit ribosomal RNA", at positions 524 to 776 of the family's 1533-position model. The record is from RNAcentral.
UACGAAGGGGGCUAGCGUUGCUCGGAAUCACUGGGCGUAAAGGGCGCGUAGGCGGCCGGUCAAGUCGGGGGUGAAAGCCUGUGGCUCAACCACAGAAUGGCCUUCGAUACUGACGGGCUCGAGACCGGAAGAGGUCAGUGGAACUGCGAGUGUAGAGGUGAAAUUCGUAGAUAUUCGCAAGAACACCAGUGGCGAAGGCGGCUGACUGGUCCGGUUCUGACGCUGAGGCGCGAAAGCGUGGGGAGCAAACAGG